GAUGAACGCUGGCGACGUGCCUAAUACAUGCAAGUCGAGCGAACAGAUGAGGAGCUUGCUCCUCUGACGUUAGCGGCGGACGGGUGAGUAACACGUGGAUAACCUACCUAUAAGACUGGGAUAACUUCGGGAAACCGGAGCUAAUACCGGAUAAUAUAUUGAACCGCAUGGUUCAAUAGUGAAAGACGGUUUUGCUGUCACUUAUAGAUGGAUCCGCGCCGCAUUAGCUAGUUGGUAAGGUAACGGCUUACCAAGGCAACGAUGCGUAGCCGACCUGAGAGGGUGAUCGGCCACACUGGAACUGAGACACGGUCCAGACUCCUACGGGAGGCAGCAGUAGGGAAUCUUCCGCAAUGGGCGAAAGCUUGACGGAGCAACGCCGCGUGAGUGAUGAAGGUCUUCGGAUCGUAAAACUCUGUUAUUAGGGAAGAACAAAUGUGUAAGUAACUAUGCACGUCUUGACGGUACCUAAUCAGAAAGCCACGGCUAACUACGUG
RNAcentral lists this ribosomal RNA (497 nucleotides) under uncultured bacterium. RNAcentral's name for it is "partial 16S ribosomal RNA". It matches the Rfam family "Bacterial small subunit ribosomal RNA", at positions 28 to 507 of the family's 1533-position model. The record is from RNAcentral.